This 77-nucleotide transfer RNA is filed under the name Magnetococcales bacterium. Its description in RNAcentral is "tRNA-Ile". It matches the Rfam family "tRNA". Rfam says of the family: Transfer RNA (tRNA) molecules are approximately 80 nucleotides in length. Their secondary structure includes four short double-helical elements and three loops (D, anti-codon, and T loops). The record is from RNAcentral. Lineage: Bacteria; Pseudomonadati; Pseudomonadota; Magnetococcia; Magnetococcales.
GGGCCUAUAGCUCAGAUGGUUAGAGCGCACGCCUGAUAAGCGUGAGGUCAGUGGUUCAAGUCCACUUAGGCCCACCA